AUUAUUGGUUCAAGUCCCUCUAUCCCCA
Molecule: transfer RNA, 28 nt
Filed under: Cecropia pachystachya
Lineage: Eukaryota; Viridiplantae; Streptophyta; Magnoliopsida; Rosales; Urticaceae
Description: partial tRNA-Leu
Source: RNAcentral